This 253-nucleotide ribosomal RNA is filed under the name uncultured bacterium. RNAcentral's name for it is "partial 16S ribosomal RNA". It matches the Rfam family "Bacterial small subunit ribosomal RNA", at positions 524 to 776 of the family's 1533-position model. The record is from RNAcentral.
UACGGAGGGAGCUAGCGUUGUUCGGAAUUACUGGGCGUAAAGCGCACGUAGGCGGCUUUUUAAGUCAGGGGUGAAAUCCCGGAGCUCAACUCCGGAACUGCCCUUGAAACUGGGAAGCUAGAAUCUUGGAGAGGCGAGUGGAAUUCCGAGUGUAGAGGUGAAAUUCGUAGAUAUUCGGAAGAACACCAGUGGCGAAGGCGACUCGCUGGACAAGUAUUGACGCUGAGGUGCGAAAGCGUGGGGGGCAAACAGG